Long non-coding RNA from Pistacia vera, 1100 nucleotides. RefSeq lists it as uncharacterized. The transcript is spliced from 4 exons. NCBI's taxonomy places the organism in Eukaryota, Viridiplantae, Streptophyta, Magnoliopsida, Sapindales, Anacardiaceae. The record is from RefSeq and is a predicted model, not a curated record.
AUUCACACAAGAAUUCAACUUAUGGCAACUACUUACUCAGACUGGCUACGAAAAGGAAGGUGAUGAGAUACCGACAGUCAGUUUAUGUUUACCUGGAAGUGAAAUUCCUAACUGGUUCAGAUAUCAAAGUUUAGGAUCUUUAGUAGCUAUUCAGCUACCAUGCAUUGGUGCAAUAGAAGAUUCAUCGGAUUUGCUUUAUGUGUGUUGUUUCCUUUAAUGAGGGAAGUUGUUAUGAGGAAGCAAUUUAUGUUAAUUGUAGUUACCAAUUUGAAAGCAGUUACGGCGAUAGGGUUCACUUCCGUUGCAAUUUCACGGUUGGUGCGGCCUUGCAAGAUGGCAUGAUAAUUGAGUCGGAUCACUUGGUAUUGGGGUAUAGUCCUUGUAUGGAUGUUAAACUACUUAAUGGUGUUCAUACAACAGCCUUAUUUGAGUUCAACCCAAUUAGAAAAUAUCCCGUGGGGAACAUCAAAGGUUCCAAGGUGAAAUGUUGUGGUGUCUGUCCUCUAUAUGCACAACCUGAUGUGAUCGAAAACCACAUUUAUGUUGAGAAAUUGGCAACCAUAAAUCAAGAUUCUGGGGAAGCAAUGCUAGAAGAAUACACCAACGAGCAAGCUGACAGAUUUGGGAGUUGCUGUGGCGGAUCUGAUGCGGAACCGGAACCACAUCCUAAAAGACUCUGCAGAAAUCAAAUAAAGAACCAAGAGUAAUAGCAGUGGCUUAGUGCUCUUAUAUCGUUCGACUUUGGGGACUUCUUCUUGUUGGUUUGCUAGACAUACUCACGGUUUCUUCCUCUAAUUUACUGGUGGAGGAGAAAGGCAAGAUCUUUGAGGCAGCUGGGCUUUUCGGGUUGAGCUGAAUUUUUGUUUACAGGGAGAUUGUGCUGAGCAGUGAGUCACCACUCAACGUUGUGCCACGCGUCGGCGUCUUCUCAUGUGUGUAUUAUGGCUUAUAUUACAAAAAUGGGCUUCUAUUUUCUGUGAUAGUCUUAUGUUUUUGCUGUAAUUACACAAGACUUGAUACCUUGUUUCUAGAUUUUUCAUGGAUUACGCAUUUAUGUUUUCCAAACCUCCUAAAUAUGUUUAUGUACCUAUUCAUACUUA